AUUGAACGCUGGCGGCAGGCUUAACACAUGCAAGUCGAGCGGAGUGAUGGUGCUUGCACUAUCACUUAGCGGCGGACGGGCGAGCAAUGCUUAGGAAUCUGCCUAUUAGUGGGGGACAACACCUCGAAAGGGAUGCUAAUACCGCAUACGUCCUACGGGAGAAAGCAGGGGAUCACUUGUGACCUUGCGCUAAUAGAUGAGCCUAAGUCGGAUUAGCUAGUUGGUGGGGUAAAGGCCUACCAAGGCGACGAUCUGUAGCGGGUCUGAGAGGAUGAUCCGCCACACUGGGACUGAGACGCGGCCCAGACUCCUACGGGAGGCAGCAGUGGGGAAUAUUGGACAAUGGGGGGAGACCUGAUCCAGUCAUGCCGCGUGUGUGAAGAAGGCCUUAUGGUUGUAAAGCACUUUAAGCGAGGAGGAGGCUCUUUUGGUUAAUACCCAAGAUGAGUGGACGUUACUCGCAGAAUAAGCACCGGCUAACUCUGUGCCAGCAGCCGCCGCCG
RNAcentral lists this ribosomal RNA (503 nucleotides) under uncultured bacterium. RNAcentral describes it as "partial 16S ribosomal RNA". It matches the Rfam family "Bacterial small subunit ribosomal RNA", at positions 30 to 523 of the family's 1533-position model. The record is from RNAcentral.